UUACCACUCUGGCCUUUUGGCUUAGAUCAAGUGUAGUAUCUGUUCUUUACAGCAUAACCGCUGUAACGGGGGCACUGCCCC
This 81-nucleotide small nuclear RNA is filed under the name Pisolithus tinctorius Marx 270. Its description in RNAcentral is "U2 spliceosomal RNA". It matches the Rfam family "U2 spliceosomal RNA", at positions 1 to 82 of the family's 192-position model. From Rfam's summary of the family: U2 is a small nuclear RNA (snRNA) component of the spliceosome (involved in pre-mRNA splicing). Complementary binding between U2 snRNA (in an area lying towards the 5' end but 3' to hairpin I) and the branchpoint sequence (BPS) of the intron results the bulging out of an unpaired adenosine, on the BPS, which initiates a nucleophilic attack at the intronic 5' splice site, thus starting the first of two transesterification reactions that mediate splicing. The record is from Rfam by way of RNAcentral. Lineage: Eukaryota; Fungi; Basidiomycota; Agaricomycetes; Boletales; Pisolithaceae.